Molecule: long non-coding RNA, 822 nt
Filed under: Helianthus annuus (common sunflower)
Lineage: Eukaryota; Viridiplantae; Streptophyta; Magnoliopsida; Asterales; Asteraceae
Source: RNAcentral
GCCAUCAGAGAAUUCAAAUUCUCUUACUUUUCUCUCUCUUCAAAAUAUAACCCUUCACCUUCACAUUGACUCUUCUCUGUUUUCCAUUUCAUUAAUUUAGAGAAACUUCAGACCUCAAACCCUAACCCCAAACAAACCAGCCGCACCUUCCUUCUCUCUCGCAACUCCGGUCGACGGAGCAACUCCGAUCGGCUGCUAGCGGCAAUUUAAGUCCGGCAACCCCUUUUUCUUCUCUCCCCUUCUCGUUUUCAGUCCGGCAACACACAAGAAGGAGCCGACGUUGGUUUCUGGCUCGGCUGUUGAUGAUGAUGACGACGAUUUUGAUGGUGAUGGUGGUUCCGGUGACGACUCCAGCAGCCAAGGUUUAAAGUGAUCUAAUUAUGACGACGAGAUUGAUGAUGAUGCGAGGAUGGUGUCGACGGCAAAAAACUGCCCCAGCCGGCGGUGGUGGGGCCGGCCGGCGGCGGCAGUAGCUGUGGUGGUGUUACUGUUCAAGUUUUGGCUUCGAGUCUCGGUUCAAGAUGCGGGUUCGAGUCAAGAAUGCAAACUCGCUUCAGAUUCAGUUUCGGUUCAGAUUUGGUUCGGGUUUCGCGGCACGGUCGGUCCAGGUCAACUCAGUUCAAUCAACGAAAUUAAACACGAGACUUGGUAAACUCGGUCAACGAAAUUAAACACUAGACUCGGUUAUGCAUUGUGGAUUUGCUUGUUGUCAGCAAACUAGCUUUUUGAAAUUUGAAAGGGUUUAUAUUUGCUUUAGAAUUGAUCCUGGAUGCCCAACCAUUUGUGUUUUUGAUAUUGCGGGUUUGAGAAUUGAUCCUGUCU